Molecule: ribosomal RNA, 497 nt
Filed under: uncultured bacterium
Lineage: Bacteria
Description: partial 16S ribosomal RNA
Rfam family: Bacterial small subunit ribosomal RNA
Source: RNAcentral
GAUGAACGCUGGCGGCGUGCCUAAUACAUGCAAGUCGAGCGAACAGACGAGGAGCUUGCUCCUUUGACGUUAGCGGCGGACGGGUGAGUAACACGUGGGUAACCUACCUAUAAGACUGGGAUAACUUCGGGAAACCGGAGCUAAUACCGGAUAAUAUUUCGAACCGCAUGGUUCGAUAGUGAAAGAUGGCUUUGCUAUCACUUAUAGAUGGACCUGCGCCGUAUUAGCUAGUUGGUAAGGUAACGGCUUACCAAGGGAACGAUACGUAGCCGACCUGAGAGGGUGAUCGGCCACACUGGAACUGAGACACGGUCCAGACUCCUACGGGAGGCAGCAGUAGGGAAUCUUCCGCAAUGGGCGAAAGCCUGACGGAGCAACGCCGCGUGAGUGAUGAAGGUCUUCGGAUCGUAAAACUCUGUUAUUAGGGAAGAACAAACGUGUAAGUAACUGUGCACGUCUUGACGGUACCUAAUCAGAAAGCCACGGCUAACUACGUG